Molecule: ribosomal RNA, 487 nt
Filed under: uncultured bacterium
Lineage: Bacteria
Description: bacterial SSU rRNA
Rfam family: Bacterial small subunit ribosomal RNA
Source: RNAcentral
GGCGGCGUGCCUAAUACAUGCAAGUAGAACGCUGAAGAAAGGAGCUUGCUUCUUUUGGAUGAGUUGCGAACGGGUGAGUAACGCGUAGGUAACCUGCCUUGUAGCGGGGGAUAACUAUUGGAAACGAUAGCUAAUACCGCAUAACAGCUUUUGACACAUGUUAGAAGCUUGAAAGAUGCAAUUGCAUCACUACGAGAUGGACCUGCGUUGUAUUAGCUAGUAGGUAGGGUAACGGCCUACCUAGGCGACGAUACAUAGCCGACCUGAGAGGGUGAUCGGCCACACUGGGACUGAGACACGGCCCAGACUCCUACGGGAGGCAGCAGUAGGGAAUCUUCGGCAAUGGGGGCAACCCUGACCGAGCAACGCCGCGUGAGUGAAGAAGGUUUUCGGAUCGUAAAGCUCUGUUGUAAGAGAAGAACGUGUGUGAGAGUGGAAAGUUCACACAGUGACGGUAACUUACCAGAAAGGGACGGCUAACUACGUG